RNAcentral lists this ribosomal RNA (465 nucleotides) under uncultured bacterium. RNAcentral describes it as "bacterial SSU rRNA". It matches the Rfam family "Bacterial small subunit ribosomal RNA", at positions 338 to 795 of the family's 1533-position model. The record is from RNAcentral.
CCUACGGGCCGCAGCAGUGGGGAAUAUUGCACAAUGGGCGCAAGCCUGAUGCAGCCAUGCCGCGUGUAUGAAGAAGGCCUUCGGGUUGUAAAGUACUUUCAGCGGGGAGGAAGGCGAUAAGGUUAAUAACCUUGUCGAUUGACGUUACCCGCAGAAGAAGCACCGGCUAACUCCGUGCCAGCAGCCGCGGUAAUACGGAGGGUGCAAGCGUUAAUCGGAAUUACUGGGCGUAAAGCGCACGCAGGCGGUCUGUCAAGUCGGAUGUGAAAUCCCCGGGCUCAACCUGGGAACUGCAUUCGAAACUGGCAGGCUAGAGUCCUGUAGAGGGGGGUAGAAUUCCAGGUGUAGCGGUGAAAUGCGUAGAGAUCUGGUGGAAUACCGGUGGCGAAGGCGGCCCCCUGGACAAAGACUGAUGCUCAGGUGCGAAAGCGUGGGGAGCAAUCAGGAUUAGAUACCCUAGUAGUC